This 1019-nucleotide ribosomal RNA is filed under the name Ostedes inermis. Its description in RNAcentral is "partial large subunit ribosomal RNA". It matches the Rfam family "Eukaryotic large subunit ribosomal RNA", at positions 128 to 876 of the family's 3401-position model. The record is from RNAcentral. Lineage: Eukaryota; Metazoa; Arthropoda; Insecta; Coleoptera; Cerambycidae.
ACCGGGCGCCGGGAAAUGUGGUGUUAGGGAGGAUCCGUUUAUCCCGAGGUCGUGCGGUGCGUCCAAGUCCUUCUUGAACGGGGCCACAGCCCAUAGAGGGUGCCAGGCCCGUAGCGACCGCUGCCGAUCGCGGGAGGAUCUCUCCUCAGAGUCGGGUUGCUUGAGAGUGCAGCCCUAAGCGGGUGGUAAACUCCAUCUAAGGCUAAAUAUGACCACGAGACCGAUAGCGAACAAGUACCGUGAGGGAAAGUUGAAAAGCACUUUGAAGAGAGAGUUCAAGAGUACGUGAAACCGUUCAGGGGUAAACCUGAGAAACCCGAAAGGUCGAAAGGGGAAAUUCAUUCGCGUCUCGGCAGUCGGAGCGGUGACGAUCGAGCGACGGACGGCGUACGCGUCGUCCGCGCCUUUCGUUUCGCUAUCCGGCGUCGAACGCGUGCACUUUUCCCCUAGUAGGACGUCGCGAUCCGUUGGGUGUCGGUUUAAGGCCCGCGGUGGAGCCCGAGUGCGCGUUUUCGGACGUUCGCGCUCGGACCCGCGGUGUCCCGGCCGACCCGCUCGACGGUAUACAGAUGGCGCGAGGCCGCUACUCAGUUAGCGUUCGGCCCGCGGCAAGCGCGCUCGGUGUCGAUGGCGAUCGGACCUGGUGCCGAUCCCGUCCCCGGGCGACUGUUGGCCGCGGUGUUUCCUCGAACAGACCUCGAUUCUUGAAACGCCGAUCUGCGACGCUAUAGCUUUGGGUACUUUCAGGACCCGUCUUGAAACACGGACCAAGGAGUCUAGCAUGUGCGCGAGUCAUUGGGACAUAACUAAACCUAAAGGCACAAUGAAAGUGAAGGUCCGCCUUGCGCGGACCGAGGGAGGAUGGGCGGUCCGUACUUCACGGUCGGUCGUUCCGCACUCCCGGGGCGUCUCAUUCUCAUCGCGAGAAGAGGCGCACCAAGAGCGUACACGCUGGGACCCGAAAGAUGGUGAACUAUGCCUGGUCAGGACGAAGUCAGGGGAAACCCUGAUGGAGGUCC